UUAAGUUAUUAAGGGCGCACGGUGGAUGCCUUGGCACUAGAAGCCGAUGAAGGACGUUACUAACGACGAUAUGCUUUGGGGAGCUGUAAGUAAGCUUUGAUCCAGAGAUUUCCGAAUGGGGAAACCCAGCAUGAGUUAUGUCAUGUUAUCGAUAUGUGAAUACAUAGCAUAUCAGAAGGCACACCCGGAGAACUGAAACAUCUUAGUACCCGGAGGAAGAGAAAGAAAAUUCGAUUCCCUUAGUAGCGGCGAGCGAAACGGGAAGAGCCCAAACCAAAAAGCUUGCUUGUUGGGGUUGUAGGACACUCUAUACGGAGUUACAAAGGACGACAUUAGACGAAUCAUCUGGAAAGAUGAAUCAAAGAAGGUAAUAAUCCUGUAGUCGAAAAUGUUGUCUCUCUUGAGUGGAUCCUGAGUACGACGGAGCACGUGAAAUUCCGUCGGAAUCUGGGAGGACCAUCUCCUAAGGCUAAAUACUCUCUAGUGACCGAUAGUGAACCAGUACCGUGAGGGAAAGGUGAAAAGCACCCCGGAAGGGGAGUGAAAUAGAACCUGAAACCGUGUGCUUACAAGUAGUCAGAGCCCGUUAAUGGGUGAUGGCGUGCCUUUUGUAGAAUGAACCGGCGAGUUACGAUUUGAUGCAAGGUUAAGCAGUAAAUGUGGAGCCGUAGCGAAAGCGAGUCUGAAUAGGGCGUUUAGUAUUUGGUCGUAGACCCGAAACCAGGUGAUCUACCCUUGGUCAGGUUGAAGUUCAGGUAACACUGAAUGGAGGACCGAACCGACUUACGUUGAAAAGUGAGCGGAUGAACUGAGGGUAGCGGAGAAAUUCCAAUCGAACCUGGAGAUAGCUGGUUCUCUCCGAAAUAGCUUUAGGGCUAGCCUCAAGUGAUGAUUAUUGGAGGUAGAGCACUGUUUGGACGAGGGGCCCCUCUCGGGUUACCGAAUUCAGACAAACUCCGAAUGCCAAUUAAUUUAACUUGGGAGUCAGAACAUGGGUGAUAAGGUCCGUGUUCGAAAGGGAAACAGCCCAGACCACCAGCUAAGGUCCCAAAAUAUAUGUUAAGUGGAAAAGGAUGUGGCGUUGCCCAGACAACUAGGAUGUUGGCUUAGAAGCAGCCAUCAUUUAAAGAGUGCGUAAUAGCUCACUAGUCGAGUGACACUGCGCCGAAAAUGUACCGGGGCUAAACAUAUUACCGAAGCUGUGGAUUGUCCUUUGGACAAUGGUAGGAGAGCGUUCUAAGGGCGUUGAAGCAUGAUCGUAAGGACAUGUGGAGCGCUUAGAAGUGAGAAUGCCGGUGUGAGUAGCGAAAGACGGGUGAGAAUCCCGUCCACCGAUUGACUAAGGUUUCCAGAGGAAGGCUCGUCCGCUCUGGGUUAGUCGGGUCCUAAGCUGAGGCCGACAGGCGUAGGCGAUGGAUAACAGGUUGAUAUUCCUGUACCACCUAUAAUCGUUUUAAUCGAUGGGGGGACGCAGUAGGAUAGGCGAAGCGUGCGAUUGGAUUGCACGUCUAAGCAGUAAGGCUGAGUAUUAGGCAAAUCCGGUACUCGUUAAGGCUGAGCUGUGAUGGGGAGAAGACAUUGAGUCUUCGAGUCGUUGAUUUCACACUGCCGAGAAAAGCCUCUAGAUAGAAAAUAGGUGCCCGUACCGCAAACCGACACAGGUAGUCAAGAUGAGAAUUCUAAGGUGAGCGAGCGAACUCUCGUUAAGGAACUCGGCAAAAUGACCCCGUAACUUCGGGAGAAGGGGUGCUCUUUAGGGUUAACGCCCAGAAGAGCCGCAGUGAAUAGGCCCAAGCGACUGUUUAUCAAAAACACAGGUCUCUGCUAAACCGUAAGGUGAUGUAUAGGGGCUGACGCCUGCCCGGUGCUGGAAGGUUAAGAGGAGUGGUUAGCUUCUGCGAAGCUACGAAUCGAAGCCCCAGUAAACGGCGGCCGUAACUAUAACGGUCCUAAGGUAGCGAAAUUCCUUGUCGGGUAAGUUCCGACCCGCACGAAAGGCGUAACGAUUUGGGCACUGUCUCAACGAGAGACUCGGUGAAAUCAUAGUACCUGUGAAGAUGCAGGUUACCCGCGACAGGACGGAAAGACCCCGUGGAGCUUUACUGUAGCCUGAUAUUGAAAUUCGGCACAGCUUGUACAGGAUAGGUAGGAGCCUUUGAAACGUGAGCGCUAGCUUACGUGGAGGCGCUGGUGGGAUACUACCCUAGCUGUGUUGGCUUUCUAACCCGCACCACUUAUCGUGGUGGGAGACAGUGUCAGGCGGGCAGUUUGACUGGGGCGGUCGCCUCCUAAAAGGUAACGGAGGCGCUCAAAGGUUCCCUCAGAAUGGUUGGAAAUCAUUCAUAGAGUGUAAAGGCAUAAGGGAGCUUGACUGCGAGACCUAUAAGUCGAGCAGGGUCGAAAGACGGACUUAGUGAUCCGGUGGUUCCGCAUGGAAGGGCCAUCGCUCAACGGAUAAAAGCUACCCCGGGGAUAACAGGCUUAUCUCCCCCAAGAGUUCACAUCGACGGGGAGGUUUGGCACCUCGAUGUCGGCUCAUCGCAUCCUGGGGCUGUAGUCGGUCCCAAGGGUUGGGCUGUUCGCCCAUUAAAGCGGUACGCGAGCUGGGUUCAGAACGUCGUGAGACAGUUCGGUCCCUAUCCGUCGUGGGCGUAGGAAAUUUGAGAGGAGCUGUCCUUAGUACGAGAGGACCGGGAUGGACAUACCUCUGGUGUACCAGUUGUCGUGCCAACGGCAUAGCUGGGUAGCUAUGUGUGGACGGGAUAAGUGCUGAAAGCAUCUAAGCAUGAAGCCCCCCUCAAGAUGAGAUUUCCCAACUUCGGUUAUAAGAUCCCUCAAAGAUGAUGAGGUUAAUAGGUUCGAGGUGGAAGCAUGGUGACAUGUGGAGCUGACGAAUACUAAUCGAUCGAAGACUUAAUCAA
This 2921-nucleotide ribosomal RNA is filed under the name Staphylococcus aureus M0409. Its description in RNAcentral is "bacterial LSU rRNA". It matches the Rfam family "Bacterial large subunit ribosomal RNA". Lineage: Bacteria; Bacillati; Bacillota; Bacilli; Caryophanales; Staphylococcaceae. The record is from RNAcentral.